CGCCCCGGCCCAGGCUGCCGGACACGGAGCUGGGACUCCUGUGCCGCAGCCCCGAGUCUGCAUCCUCGGCCCGUGACAGCGCAAAGCAUCUCGGCCCACACCCGCGAGGGGGCACCUCAAGGUUGCCAGCAUGAUGGCGGAGAGAGCACUAGACGCCGUGGGCUGUGGACUAGGACCGGGGGCUGUGGCCAUGGCCGUGGCGCUGGAGGACGGAGGGGAGCCCCCUGUGCUGACCACACACCUGAAGAAAGUGGAGAACCACAUCACUGAAGCCCAGCGCUUCUCCCACCUACCUAAGCGCUCAGCCGUCGACAUUGAAUUCGUGGAGCUGUCCUAUUCCGUGCGGGAGGGGCCCUGCUGGCGAAAACGCGGUUAUAAGACCCUCCUCAAGUGCCUAUCAGGUAAAUUCUGCCGCCGGGAGCUAAUUGGCAUCAUGGGCCCCUCAGGGGCUGGCAAGUCCACAUUCAUGAACAUCUUGGCAGGAUACAGGGAGUGUGGAAUGAAGGGACAGAUCCUGGUAAAUGGGAAGUCGCGGGAACUGAGGACGUUCCGCAAAAUGUCCUGUUACAUCAUGCAGGAUGACAUGCUGCUGCCACAUCUCACAGUGCUGGAAGCUAUGAUGGUCUCUGCAAACCUGAAGCUGAGUGAGAAGCAAGAGGUGAAGAAGGAGCUGGUGACCGAAAUCCUGACAGCAUUGGGCCUGAUGUCCUGCUCCCACACGAGGACAGCCCUGCUCUCCGGCGGGCAGAGGAAGCGCCUGGCCAUCGCCCUGGAGCUGGUCAACAACCCGCCUGUCAUGUUCUUUGAUGAGCCCACCAGUGGUCUGGACAGCGCCUCCUGUUUCCAAGUGGUGUCCCUCAUGAAGUCCCUGGCCCAGGGAGGCCGUACCAUCAUCUGCACCAUCCACCAGCCCAGUGCCAAGCUCUUUGAGAUGUUUGACAAGCUCUACAUCCUGAGCCAGGGUCAGUGCAUCUUCAAGGGUAUGGUCACCAAUCUGAUCCCCUAUUUGAAGGGCCUAGGCUUGCACUGCCCCACCUACCACAACCCAGCUGACUUCAUCAUUGAGGUGGCCUCUGGCGAGUAUGGAGACCUGAACCCCAUGCUGUUCAGGGCUGUGCAGAAUGGGCUGUGCACCAUGACUGAGAAGAAGAGCAGCCCUGAGAAGAAUGAGGUCCCUGCCCCCUGCCCCCCUUGCCCUCCGGAAGUGGAUCCCAUUGAAAGCCACACCUUUGCCACCAGUACCCUCACACAGUUCUGCAUCCUCUUCAAGAGGACCUUCUUGUCCAUCCUCAGGGACAUGGUUCUGACCCACCUGCGGUUCGUGUCCCAUGUGGUGAUUGGUGUGCUCAUUGGCCUCCUCUACCUGCACAUUGGCAAUGAUGCCAGCAAGGUCUUCAACAACACGGGCUGCCUCUUCUUCUCCAUGCUGUUCCUCAUGUUUGCUGCCCUUAUGCCAACUGUGCUUACCUUCCCCUUAGAGAUGGCAGUCUUUAUGAGGGAGCAUCUCAACUACUGGUAUAGCCUAAAAGCAUAUUACCUGGCCAAGACCAUGGCCGAUGUGCCCUUUCAGGUUGUGUGCCCAGUGGUGUACUGCAGCAUCGUAUACUGGAUGACAGGCCAGCCAGCCGAGACUAGCCGCUUCCUGCUCUUCUCAGCCCUGGCCACUGCCACAGCUUUGGUUGCCCAGUCUUUGGGGCUACUCAUUGGAGCUGCCUCCAACUCCCUGCAGGUGGCCACGUUUGUGGGCCCAGUUACUGCCAUUCCUGUCCUCUUGUUCUCCGGUUUCUUUGUCAGCUUCAAGACCAUCCCCACUUACUUGCAAUGGAGCUCCUACCUCUCCUAUGUCAGGUAUGGCUUUGAGGGCGUGAUUCUGACCAUCUAUGGCAUGGAACGAGGAGACCUGACUUGCUCCGAGGAGCACUGCCCUUUCCAGGAGCCACAGAGUAUACUCCAAGCUCUGGAUGUAGAGGGUGCCAAGCUCUACAUGGACUUCCUGGUCUUGGGCAUCUUCUUCCUGGCCCUGCGGUUGCUGGCAUACCUUGUGCUCCGGUACCGGGUCAAGUCGGAGAGAUAGAGCUUUGCCCUGGCCUGUGCCCUAGGCAUCGCAGCAGGAAGGCCCCAGCUCCAGCCCUUUGGGACUGUUUUAACCUCGUAGACUUAAGCACUAGUUGCUGGUGCAGCCACCCUCCCCUUUCUCAGCUCCUCCACAGAGUUACAGGCACUUACAUGUGAACAGGCAAUCUCAGCCCUCUAUACCCUUGCUGUCCCCAAUGGCUCAGAGGAAGAGUGAUGAUGGCAUGGUGGUGGUGGAUGCUGUGGGGAGGGCAGUGCCAACCUCCUCCUGGGGACCUCGCUUUGACUGUGAGGAUGAGACUGGUGCUGUCCAGGGCAUCUUCUGGAUCUGUAGGUGUCUACUCCCCAUCUUCCCUUUCUCCCAAGCCAGGGUGGCACAGGACAUUAGCUCCCUGAAGUUCAGGACCUAACACAAGCACAGGCAAGGGCAUAAGUUGGUCUUGGCCACUGCCACCUCAUGGCCCUUUUGUGUGUCAAGCUGGCAUUCUCUUUCCUCCACUCCUUCCCCAGCCAUUUGCUGCUCAUUCAAACUCCUGUCCAUGUCUCUUUACCCCCUUUCCCAUCAGCUAAGGUGGCCCCAGGGCAUGCCUUGGGUACCAGGAUGACAGACACACGAGGGGCAUGCCUGGCUUUCCCGGUGGGUCCAGGCUCAUUCUACUUUCAGUUCCCCUUACUUAGGGCUCUUU
RNA transcript from Pteronotus mesoamericanus, 2759 nucleotides. It is a transcript of the gene named ATP binding cassette subfamily G member 4, with no coding region annotated. The transcript is spliced from 16 exons. NCBI's taxonomy places the organism in Eukaryota, Metazoa, Chordata, Mammalia, Chiroptera, Mormoopidae. The record is from RefSeq and is a predicted model, not a curated record.